RNAcentral lists this ribosomal RNA (497 nucleotides) under uncultured bacterium. RNAcentral describes it as "partial 16S ribosomal RNA". It matches the Rfam family "Bacterial small subunit ribosomal RNA", at positions 28 to 507 of the family's 1533-position model. The record is from RNAcentral.
GAUGAACGCUGGCGGCGUGCCUAAUACAUGCAAGUCGAGCGAACAGACGAGGAGCUUGCUCCUCUGACGUUAGCGGCGGACGGGUGAGUAACACGUGGAUAACCUACCUAUAAGACUGGGAUAACUUCGGGAAACCGGAGCUAAUACCGGAUAAUAUAUUGAACCGCAUGGUUCAAUAGUGAAAGACGGUUUUGCUGUCACUUAUAGAUGGAUCCGCGCCGCAUUAGCUAGUUGGUAAGGUAACGGCUUACCAAGGCAACGAUGCGUAGCCGACCUGAGAGGGUGAUCGGCCACACUGGAACUGAGACACGGUCCAGACUCCUACGGGAGGCAGCAGUAGGGAAUCUUCCGCAAUGGGCGAGAGCCUGACGGAGCAACGCCGCGUGAGUGAUGAAGGUCUUCGGAUCGUAAAACUCUGUUAUUAGGGAAGAACAAAUGUGUAAGUAACUAUGCACGUCUUGACGGUACCUAAUCAGAAAGCCACGGCUAACUACGUG